Molecule: non-coding RNA, 192 nt
Organism: Agrilus planipennis (emerald ash borer)
Lineage: Eukaryota; Metazoa; Arthropoda; Insecta; Coleoptera; Buprestidae
Source: Rfam
GAAUAUCUAUUUUGUCCCCUUCAAAGUAAUUCCUCGGCGGAAGAGGACCUUAAUUGGUCCUAGAACGGCCUGAGGUAGAGGGAUUUUAGGAUUUUAGUCGGUAGGUCCGAGGACUUCUUCCUCGGGAAUCCGACACUACCCAGUCGUACGGACGGCUGAGUGUCUUUUGAAGAUUUCCCCUCUUCCACGAAA